Elaeis guineensis (African oil palm) is the source of this 88-nucleotide small nucleolar RNA. The record is from RefSeq and is a predicted model, not a curated record. Lineage: Eukaryota; Viridiplantae; Streptophyta; Magnoliopsida; Arecales; Arecaceae.
GGGUGACAUGAUGAUUUCUAAUCCAUAGAAAUAUUUCUGCAUUUUAGAUGAUGAGUAUAUAUAAACAUGCACUACCAUCUGAUCUCCC